CUUGUUCUCUCGUUAUUGGGUCCUGACUUCGACAACAAUUUCGUGACUCUUAAUUCUGUUGGUGCUAGCGGUGGUGUACUGCUGGCCUGGAGAUCUAAAUUGGGAGCUAUUGUUGACUCUCGGGUUGAUGUCUUCAGUGUCUCUGUCAAAUUCUGUCCAACGAUUGGUGAUGAGUGGUGGUUGACCUGUGUGUACGGGCCCCAGGGUAACGAUAGGAAGCUCAUGUUCAUGCAAGAACUGCGUCUUAUUAGAGCUAAUUGUGCUGGACCUUGGAUUGUUGGUGGAGACUUCAACUUGAUUUAUAGAGAUGAAGACAAAAAUAAUCCUAAUCUCAACCGAUUCAUGAUGGGGAGAUUCAGGAGAUGUAUUCAGGAUUUAGGAAUCAAAGACAUCGAUCUACAUGGAAGGAAAUUCACCUGGUCAGGGGCAUAUGAUGUGUUGGUACGACUAGACAGAGUCUUCUGUUCCGUUGAGUGGGAGCAGAAAUUCCCAGAUUUCUUACUCCAAUGUUCCGCUUCUGAGGGCUCUGAUCAUUGUCCUCUCCUUCUUGGAUUGAAGGAUAAUCUUCGGGGCAAGAGGAGAUUCCACUUUGAGUCCUUCUGGACAAGAUUUGAGGGCUUUCAUGAUGCAGUUUCUAAUGCUUGGCACUCUGUACAGAUUAAUGCUUGCCCUCUUAAAUCUCUCUCCCUCAAGUUCAAGGCUACAGCCAAGGGGCUACAACGAUGGAGUGACAAAAAAGUGGGCAACUUCAAGUUACAGCUCGAGUUAGCUAGAGAAGUGAUGUUGCAGCUAGAAUCAGCAAGGGAUGGUAGACCUCUCUCUGAUCUCGAACGCUGGCUGCUACAGCAAUUAAAGAAACAUUGCUUGUUCCUUGCUUCCCUGCUCAGGACGGUGGCUAGGACCAGAUCUCGGCUGUCUUGGCUCAAGGACGGCGAUGCCAACACCAAGUUAUUUCAUGCUUGCUCAAGAUUUCGCAAGAGGAAGAACUUUAUUACUACAAUUCGGGAUGGAGAUCAGCUGUUCACCUCCCAUGAUGGGAAGGCUGAGGUUUUCUAGGAUUUCUAUAUGAAUCUAAUUGGAAGUGAAGUGCAGAGAAAUCAAACUAUCAACCUUGAUGCCUUGGGACUGCAGCAACAUGACCUUCAGGCUCUUGAGUUUUUAAUUACUGAGGAGGAGAUAUUGAACACUAUCAAGCAACUCCCCGCGGACAAGGCUCCUGGCCCCGAUGGGUUCACCAGGCAGUUUUAUAAAAGCUGCUGGCCUAUUAUAAAAAAUGACAUUAUGGCAGCUGUUUCAACUAUUUGGGGGAGAGACUUCAGGAAUUUCAGAUUCCUUAACAUAGCUUUCAUUACGCUGCUACCAAAACAUAAUGAUGCUAUUGCUGCCAAGGAUUUCAGACCCAUUAGUUUGAUCCACAGUUUCGCCAAGUUGGUGACUAAGGUUCUUGCAAAUAGGUUGAGGUGUCAUAUGGAGGGGCUGAUCUCUAAAGCACAAAGCGCCUUCAUCAAAGGUCGCUUCAUACAAGACAAUUUUAUGCUUGUCCAGCAGACGGCAAGAUUUCUCCACGCUAAAAACCAGCCCAGAAUUCUUUUGAAGCUGGACAUUUCCAAGGCCUUCGACUCGGUCUCUUGGCCUUUCCUUCUUGAGGUUCUGGAAAAAUUAGGCUUUGGCCCAGUGUGGAGGGAUGUGAUAAGUGGUUUUCUUAUGACCUCUUCCACCCAGAUCCUGCUCAAUGGAGUGCCUGGAAGGUUCAUUUCGCAUAGAAGGGGCUUGCGGCAAGGUGACCCCUUGUCUCCGCUGCUUUUUAUAAUUGUUAUGGAUGUCCUCACUUUGUUGUUUAUCAAGGCUGAGGAGCAUGGGUUGUUGCAGCCCAUUUCUUCUAAUUCUUUUCAGCACCGGAUCUCGCUCUAUGCAGACGACGUGGCUCUCUUCCUAAAACCAGAGCCUAGGGACUUAAACACUGCUGUGAGGAUUUUGGAUCUGUUUGGGGAUGCUUCAGGGUUGAGAACUAAUAUGGCAAAGAGCAGUAUUGUACCCAUCCGUUGCACACAUGCUGAUUUGAAUUUGGUCCAGCAGCUCCUUCCCUGCAGAUUUGAGACUUUUCCAAUUAAAUACUUGGGUCUCCCUCUCUCCCUGAAGAAGUUAUCUAAAGCUCAGCUUCAGCCUCUUAUUGACAAGGUGGCUGAUCUCUUACCGGCUUGGAAAGCUGACCUGAUGACCCGUGCUGGCAGAGCUACCCAGGUGCAAUUUGUGCUCACUGCUACUGUUAUUUAUCAAAUGAUGGCUCUAGAUUUGCCUAAGUGGGCUAUUAAAGCAAUUGAUAAAAUCCGUCGUGGGUUCUUGUGGCGAGGGCGUAAAGAGGCUAAUGGUGGUCAUUGUAUGGUGGCCUGGGGCAAGGUCACACGCCCAAAAGAGUUAGGGGGCUUGGUAUUUCUGAUCUCCAAUGCUUAAAUAGGGCCCUUCGUGUUAGAUGGAUUUGGCUCCAAAAAACUGAUUCUUCCAAACCUUGGACUGAUUUGCCAUUCCAUUCAAACCGGUUCUUGGAUAGCUUGUGCUCUUUGGCAAUGGCCUCCAUAGUGGGUGAUGGGCAGUCCACUCUUUUUUGGCAUGACAGAUGGAUCCUGGGUCAGAGGAUUGCAGACUUGGCCCCUCAUGUUUUUAGUUUGGUUCCUAAAAGGCUGGUGAAGCGAAGGACAGUGGCUGAUGCUCUGUGUAGCUCAUCAUGGAUUGGGGAUUUAAGGGGAGUGAUAUCUUGGGAGGUCAUUGCUGACUUCAUUUUGCUGGCAGAUGUUGUGGCUGAUGUUGAUCUUCAACCGGGAGUUCCAGAUAAACAUUAUUGGAGGUUCUCUUCCAAUGGUAUCUAUUCGGCCAAAUCUGCUUAUGAGAUAAUGUUCUGUGGUUCUACCUCCAUGGCGGGCUUUGAGAGAGUGUGGAGCACCUGGGCGCCGCCGAAGUGUCAGUUUUUCCUCUGGUUGGUCCUACAUAAUAAAUGUUGGACGGCUGACCGGCUCGCUAAGAGGGGUCUUCCCCAUCCUAGUUCUUGCCCCUUAUGUGACCAGGAGGGGAGAGUCUAUUCAUCACUUGCUUGUUUCUUGUGUUCUCGCGAGGCAAUUUUGGUAUCUUCUUCUCCAGCGGGUCGGCCUGUCCGCACUCUCCCCCGGGAUGGAAGAUAUCAAUUUUGAAGCUUGGUGGAGUAGAUCGGCUGAGGUUACUCCUAAGGACCUUAGAGAUGGCCUUAACUCUUUGGUGAUUCUUGGGGCUUGGACUAUCUGGAGACACCGUAAUGACUGUGUUUUCAAUGGUGCUCAGCCUUCUAUAGCUAGAUUGCUUACCUCAGCCAGUGAUGAGUUCAAUAUGUGGUGUUUUGCGGGGCCAAAGGCUUGACCCGUCUUUCGGACCUAGCUUUUGUGUUCAACCCCGGUUAGAAGGUGGUUAUUAUUACUAGUGUUGUUUGUGUGUGUGUUUGUGUGAGUGGUGUUUAGGUCAUUGUAAUUAUCUUCCUUCUUUUAAUGAAAUGAUACGCAGCUCUCCUGCGUGUUCGAGAAAAAAAACAUUGAGGAGGAAGUUCACUGUCAUGUUAAAUUGUUCAUCUGACCAACACGAGUCGAGGAACAUGCACAUAUGUAGCUUGUUUAGGUUUCGAUUCAGAGUAUCUUCUCUGUGGGCUUGCUGACAGUGUUGGGUAUGACUGAGCUUUUUACUCGAAGUUGGCAGAAGAGCUAUGCACGCUUCUCGUGGACACCCCAAGCGAGACGCUAGUUGGAUCUGCCCACGGGGUGUCUUGAGACGAUGCUCAUCGUUCCGGUUCCCGAUGAAAGCAGGACACUAUCUUCACCGAAAUUAUUUGCACCGAUGACCGAUUCAUAAGAGAAGGGUCGGUCCAUACUAUCAGGCCCUCGAUGGGUCUUUUGUUGAUGAUGUUUAGUGUUCAGGCAUGGCUGGCGUUCAGGUGUGUCCCGUAAUCUAGGAAAAGGGAGUGAAGCCUACAAUGCGUCAACACACCAAAGAGUUUCUUCAUGUCUCAUGUGCUUUAGGAUACAUUGAAGAAUCCGUGCAGGUUCAGUUCUCUCCCUAGAUCCGAGUGGAGCACUGAUUUUACUCUAGCUUACACGUCUCAUGUCGAAAGAAAUUUAAGAGAAACCUAUGCGGAUUGUCUCAGAGCGGGAGCGAGCCAAAACCGCUUUUUGUGCAAACUUGUGGAGCUGGGACCCGAUGCCGCGGCCUAAUACCGUGGACUGACGGCACGCAUAUGGGUUUCUUGUUUCCUCUGGUUUUCGGGGGCGUAGAAUUCUAGUGCAAGCUUCCUCACUAUGAAUUCUCAACCCGUGCUUACAAAACGAAACCGGGACCGAGUCAUGUAGAAUUCUAGUGCGUAGUACUACCUUGUUUGUUUGUGAUUGGGCGUGACUCUGGUCGGCGCUACUGCCACCACCGCUGGCAUACAAGCGAGGUGGGCAAGCGCCAGCGCACCUAGGAUUCUAGAAAGUUUCCAGACGAUACCAUCGACGCGGCGGCGGCACACGGAGAUGUCUCGCAAGCUACAGCCAUCGGAAAAAAAAAUCGCUGAGACAGACAGACAGGGCGUGCUUCUACUGAUCUACUGUAUUACAGCGGCACCGGCCAACGGGAUUAGACCUGGAGACAACAGAAAGGAGACACGGUCCGCCACGAAGCGAAGAAAGAAACAAAUUAGUAAAAGAAAAAAACAGCGACGGCCCAUCAGAUCGCUGCACAAAACCGUCGACGGCGCGGCAGCAGAAUUGAAAAAGGCAACGCGCGAUGCUUAUCCUCCGGGAGUGAUGUAGCUCGAGCAGACCCAAUCGCCCGCCCGGACUACUAUAUUUAUACACCAGCCCCGCCCGGUCCCCGCUCAUCGCGAGAUCGACCAUCAUCACAGAUCAUCCACAGAGGAGACCAUCUUCCGUGUAGAGACUAGACUAGAGAGAGAGGGGGAUAUAUGGCAGACAUCGUCCAAGGUGUGGAGCUCGUGGGUGGAGUCCGCCGCCGCGUCCGGGGUGAGGUUCAGCGUCGCGCUGCACCUGGAGCCCAAGACCGCGCUCGCCCUGGCCGCCGCCGAUGGCCUCUUCUCCGCCUAGCUAGCUAGCUAGCCUAGCUGCUUCCAGGCCCUUCUCCUGAGUGAGCAGAGCACUGAGCAGCAGUAGUCGAGUUCUUCUGGACCAUAUAAUACAAUGCGCGGUUCACCUGUACAUUCAUUCUUCGCUUCUCCUGCGCUCAUUGAUAUGCGCAUCUGCUUGAUUGUUUUCUCCUUGUCGUGACAUUUUUUUUAAGGACAUUUACAUUUGAACCACUAGUCUCGACGCCUUGCUCAGAUCUACACCCACCCAAAUUCUCUCCUCACUUUUCUCCUCUCACCUCUGCACUUAGCUCGGAUAUAACCUCACGUUCCAUCCCGUCAAAGCAUCUUACAGGUGGACCAAUGUCUUACAUGUGGGCCCCGCCACCUCCACACCUUUUCCUUUCCCCUGCUUUCUCUUCCUAAAUCGAAUCACACGUGAGAUUCGCUCCCAGGUUCACUCCCGUGCGGCGUCUCCGGCGUACGGCGUCUCCGACAAGCGCGGCUACGGCCAUUUCUGAGAGCAUUUAGAGGGGGUGAAUAGGUGAUCCUGUAACACUUCAAAAUCUUAAGCCACAAAACUUGAUUAAUUGUUAGCGCAGUAAUUUGCCAAGUGGCUGAAGAAGGAUCUCAACACAACACAAUAACCAAGAGAUAUCAAUCACAGAGAUGGCACAGUGGUUAUCCCGUGGUUCGGCCAAGACCAACGCUUGCCUACUCCAUGUUGUGGCGUCCCAACGGACGAGGGUUGCAAUCAACCCCUCUCAAGCGGUCCAAAGACCAACUUGAAUACCACGGUGUUGCUUUGCUUUUCUUAAUCCCACUUGCGAGGAAUCUCCACAGCUUGGAGCCUCUCGCCCUUACAAAAGAUGUUCACAAAGAAUCACGGAGCAAGGGAGGGAUUAGCAACUCACAUACGACACAAAGAUCACAGUGAAUACGCACACGCAAAACCCAGACUUGAGCUCAAGAGACUAGCACACUAGAACAGAGCUCAAAUCACUAGAAUGUCAAACAAGUGCGCAAGAAUGAAGUGUGAGUGAUCAAUGAUGCUCAAAGGAUGCUUGGUGUUCUCCUCCAUGCGCCUAGGGGUCCCUUUUAUAGCCCCAAGGCAGUUAGGAGCCGUUGAGCACAAAUCUGGAAAGCCAUUCUUGCCUUCUGUCAUCGGGGGCACCGGACAGUCCGGUGCACACCGGACACUGUCCGGUGCCUGAUCUCCUUCCUUAAAUAGUGAAGCCGACCGUUGGCAGACUUGGAGCCGUUGGCGCACCGGACAUGUCCGGUGCACACCGGACAGUCCGGUGCCAUCUUCUAGCCGUUGGCUCAGCCACGUGUCCCGCGCAGAUUGCGCGGCCGACCGUUGGCCCGGCCGACUGUUGGCUCACCGGACAGUCCGGUGCACACCGGACAGUCCGGUGAAUUUUAGCCGUACGUCGCCGGUGAAUUCCCGAGAGCGGCCACUUCGCUCGAGCCAGCCUGGCGCACCGGACACUGUCCGGUGCACCACCGAACAGUCCGGUGCUCCCAGACUCAGCAGAUUCUUGGCUGCUCGAGCCAAGACAUUUCCAAUUGGAUUUUUCCUGUUUCCAGCACUUAGAUACAAUACAUUAGUCCAUAAAACAAUGUACUAAGUCUGAGAAACAUACCUUUAUUCUUGAUAUGUACUUUGUCCACCUUUUUACACUUAGACACUUGUGUUGGACACUAAAUCACCAAAACACUUAGAAAUGGCCCAAGGGCACAUUUCCCUUUCAAUCUCCCCCUUUUUGGUGAUUUAUGCCAACACAACAUAAAGCAAGUAGAACAAGUACAAAAACAAUUCAAAUAAGAACUCAAAAUUGUUUUGAUUCAAUUUUGACAUAUAUGGAUCACUCUAUGCCACCACUUGGUUUGUUUUUGCAAAUCAAACUCAAAUUCCUAUCUCUAAGUCAAAACCACUUGUAGAGACAUAAAGAGAGGUUUUCCAAAGAAAUUUGAUCAAGGAUUUCAAAAACUCCCCCUUUUUCCCAUAAUCAGCACUUCUCUCCACAAGAGGCCAACUUUUGACAAGAGAGACAACAAAAGAGUUUUGACAAACCAAAAACUCUAAUCUACUAUUUUCAAAAUUUCUCAAGUGGUAGCUGAUCCAUUUAUUGCUUUGGCCUUUAUUUUCUCCCCCUUUGGCAUCAAGCACCAAAACGGGAUCAAUCUUGGCCCUUUAACCCCAUUGCCUCACCAAAAUCUUCAACUAAGAGCAAAUAGGCAAUAAGAGUAUAAAGAUGAACUUGGAAAAGUUACUCUUUUCAUCGGAGUGCAGUGGAAGUCUUGCAUGGUCCAAGUCCACCAUUUUCCCUUUCAAUUCUCCUUGGAGACUAAAACAACCAAACUCAAGUACAUGGUUAGUCUCAAAGGGUCAAGUUGUAGCACAGCUCCCCCUAAAUAUGUGCAUCACUUGCAAACAGGACUUGUGAGGUCCAGGGAGUGUUUGUACAACUUGAGCACCACAAUAAGCAACAAAAUGCAGAAUGAACAUGAGCAAAAGCAUAAACACAUGUAUGCUACAUUUCAAUCCAAGUUCCGCGAAUCUAAGAUAUUGAGCUCACUACGCAGCCUGCAAAAGGUCUUCUCAUCUAGAGGCUUGGUAAAGAUAUCGGCUAGCUGGUUCUCGGUGCUAACAUGAAACACUUCGAUAUCCCCCUUUUGCUGGUGGUCUCUCAAAAAGUGAUGCCGGAUGUCAAUAUGCUUUGUGCGGCUGUGCUCAACAGGAUUUUCCGCUAUUCGGAUAGCACUCUCAUUAUCACAUAGGAGUGGGACUUUGCUCAGAUUGUAGCCAAAGUCCCUGAGGGUUUGCCUCAUCCAAAGUAGUUGUGCGCAACACUGUCCUGCGGCAACAUACUCGGCCUCAGCGGUGGAUAGGGCAACGGAGGUUUGUUUCUUAGAGUUCCAUGACACCAGGGACCUUCCUAAGAAUUGGCACGUCCCCGAUGUACUCUUCCUAUCGACCUUACAUCCAGCAUAGUCAGAAUCUGAGUACCCAAUCAAGUCAAAGUUAGACCCCUUUGGAUACCAGAUCCCGAAGCAAGGCGUAGCGACUAAAUAUCGAAGAAUUCGCUUCACAGCCACUAAGUGACACUCCUUCGGAUCGGAUUGAAAUCUAGCACACAUGCAUACGCUAAGCAUAAUAUCCGGUCUACUAGCACAUAAAUAAAGCAAAGACCCUAUCAUGGACCAAUAUGCUUUUUGAUCAACGGACUUACCUCCUUUGUUGAGGUCGGUGUGUCCGUCGGUUCCCAUCGGCGUCUUUGCGGGCUUGGCGUCCUUCAUCCCAAACCUCUUUAGCAAAUCUUGUGUGUACUUCGUUUGGGAGAUGAAGGUGCCGUCCUUGAGUUGCUUCACUUGGAACCCAAGGAAGUAGGUCAACUCGCCCAUCAUCGACAUCUCGAAUUUCUGCGUCAUCACCCUGCUAAACUCUUCACAAGACUUUUGGUUAGUAGAACCAAAUAUUAUGUCGUCGACAUAAAUUUGGCACACAAAAAGAUCACCAUCGCAAGUCUUAGUAAAAAGAGUUGGAUCGGCUUUCCCAACCUUGAAAGCAUUAGCAAUUAAAAAGUCUCUAAGGCAUUCAUACCAUGCUCUUGGGGCUUGCUUAAGUCCAUAGAGCGCCUUAGAGAGCUUACACACGUGGUCGGGGUACCGUUCAUCCUCGAAGCCAGGGGGUUGCUCCACGUACACCUUCUCCUUGAUCGGCCCGUUGAGGAAAGCGCUCUUCACAUCCAUUUGGUACAACCUGAAAGAAUGGUGAGCGGCAUAUGCUAGCAAGAUGCGAAUUGACUCUAGCCUAGCCACAGGAGCAAAAGUCUCCUCAAAGUCCAAACCUGCGACUUGGGCAUAACCUUUUGCCACAAGUCGAGCCUUGUUCCUCGUCACCACCCCGUGCUCGUCCUGUUUGUUGCGGAACACCCACUUGGUUCCCACAACAUUUUGCUUGGGACGAGGCACCAGUGUCCAAACUUCAUUGCGCUUGAAGUUGUUGAGUUCCUCCUGCAUGGCCAACACCCAGUCCGGAUCUAGCAAGGCCUCUUCUACCCUGAAAGGCUCAAUAGAAGAGACAAAAGAGUAAUGCUCACAAAAAUUAACUAAUCUCGAGCGAGUAGUUACUCCCUUGCUAAUAUCACCCAAUAUCUGGUCGACGGGAUGAUCCCUUUGAAUCGUCGCUCGAACUUGGGUUAGAGGUGCCUGAGGUGCUUCUUCCUCUUCAACUUGAACAUCCUGUGCUCCCCUUUGAUCAUGCGCCUCCACUUGAGGUACCUGUUCAUUGCCUUGGGUUGGGGGAUGCACCAUAGUUGAGGAAGACGGUUGAUCUUGCUCCAAAUGUUCUUGAGGCCGUACAUCUCCAAUCGCCAUGGUGCGUAUCGCGGCCGUUGGAACGUCUUCUUCAUCUACAUCAUCAAGAUCAACAACUUGCUCUCUUGGAGAGCCAUUAGUCUCAUCAAAUACAACGUCGCUAGAGACUUCAACCAAACCCGAUGAUUUGUUGAAGACCCUAUACGCCUUUGUAUUUGAAUCAUAACCUAAUAAAAACCCUUCUACGGCUUUGGGAGCAAAUUUGGAAUUCCUACCCUUCUUCACUAGAAUGUAGCAUUUACUCCCAAAAACACGAAAAUACGAUACAUUAGGUUUGUUACCGGUUAGCAGCUCAUACGACGUCUUCUUGAGGAGGCGGUGAAGGUAGACCCUGUUGAUGGCGUGGCAAGCCGUGUUCACGGCUUCCGACCAAAAGCACUCGGGGGUCUUGAAUUCUCCAAGCAUAGUCCUCGCCAUAUCUAUGAGUGUCCUGUUCUUCCUCUCUACCACACCAUUUUGCUGAGGUGUGUAGGGAGCGGAGAACUCGUGCUUGAUUCCCUCCUCCUCAAGAAACUCCUCCACUUGAAGGUUCUUGAAUUCGGACCCGUUGUCGCUCCUUAUCUUCUUCACCUUGAGCUCAAACUCAUUUUGAGCUCUCCUUAGGAAGCACUUGAGGGUCCCUUGGGUUUCAGACUUAUCCUGCAAAAAGAACACCCAAGUGAAGCGGGAAAAGUCAUCAACGAUAACUAGACCAUACUUACUUCCUCCUAUGCUCAGAUAGGCGACGAGUCCGAAGAGGUCCAUAUGUAGCAGCUCCAGGGGUCUUGAUGUUGUCAUCACAUUUUUGGUGUGAUGAGAGCCUCCCACCUGUUUCCCUGCUUGACAAGCUGCACAAGGUCUAUCUUUUUCGAAAUGAACAUUGGUUAGACCUAUCACGUGUUCUCCCUUUAGAAGCUUGUGGAGGUUCUUCAUCCCCACAUGUGCUAAGCGGCGAUGCCACAGCCAGCCCAUGCAAGUCUUAGCCAUUAAGCAUGCAUCUAGACCGGCCUCUUCUUUUGCAAAAUCAACUAAGUAAAGCUUGCCGUCUAGUACACCCUUAAAAGCUAGUGAACCAUCACAUCUUCUAAAGACAGACACAUCUACAUUUGUAAACAAACAGUUAUAUCCCAUAUUGCAUAAUUGACUAACAGAUAGCAAAUUAUAUCCAAGACUCUCCACUAGAAACACAUUAGAGAUAGAAUGCUCAUUGGAUAUUGCAAUUUUACAUAGCCCUUUUACCUUGCCUUGAUUCCCAUCACCGAAUAUUAUUGAAUCUUGGGAAUCUUUGUUUUUGACGUAGGAGGUGAACAUCUUCUUCUCCCCCGUCAUAUGGUUUGUGCAUCCGCUGUCAAUGAUCCAGCUUGAACCCCCGGAUGCAUAAACCUGCAAGGCAAAUUUAGGCUUGGGUCUUAGGUACCCAACUCAUGUUGGGUCCUGCAAGGUUAGCACAAAUAUCCUUAGGGACCCAAAUGCAAGUUUUGUCUCCCUUACAUCUUGCCCCUAAUUUUCUAGCAACUAUCUUCCUAUCCUUUCUACAAAUAGCAAAAGAAGCAUUUAAAGCAUGAUAUACUGUAGAAGGUUCAUUUACUUUCCUAACAACAUUUCUAUCAUGCACAUAAGAAGAACUAGAAGCAAACAUGGCAUGAGAAUCAAAGGCAUUAUAUGCAUUACAACUCCUAUAAGCAUUUCUAGAUUGUCUCCUAUCAUGGUACAUAAAAGCAUGGUUCUUUUGCACACUACUAGCCAUAGGGGCCUUUCCUUUCUCCUUGGCGGAGAUGGGAGCCUUAUGGCUUGUCAAGUUCUUGGCUUCCCUCUUGUAGCCAAGUCCAUCCUUAAUUGAGGGGUGUCUACCAAUCGUGUAGGCAUCCCUUGCAAAUUUUAGCUUGUCAAAUUCAUUCUUGCUAGUCUUAAGUUGGGCAUUAAGACUAGCUAAUUCCUCAUUUAAUUUAGAAAUUGAAACUAAAUGAUCACUACAAGCAUCAAUGUCAAAAUCUUUACACCUAUUACAAGUUUCAACAAUUUCUACACAAGAAUUAGAUUUACUAGCUACUUCUAGUUUAGCAUUUAAAUCAUCAUUAAAACUUUUUAACUUAGCAAUAGUUUCAUGACAAGAAGAUAAUUCACUAGAGAGCAUUUCAUUCCUCUUAAUUUCUAGAGCAAGAGAUUUCUGAGCUUCUACAAAUUUAUCAUGUUUUUCAUACAACAAAUCCUCUUGCUUUUCUAAAAGUAUAUUCCUAUCAUUCAAGGCAUCAAUCAAUUCAUUAAUUUUGUCUACCUUAGUUCUAUCUAAUCCCUUGAAUAAGCAUGAGUAAUCUAUCUCAUCAUCAUCACUAGACUCAUCCUCACUUGAAGAAGCAUAAGUACUAGUAUUAGGAGUGCUUACUUUCUUCUCCCUUGCCAUGAGGCAAGUGUGACGCUCGUUGGGGAAGAGGGAUGACUUGUUGAAGGCAGUGGCGGCGAGUCCCUCAUUGUCGGAGUCGAACGAGGAGCAGUCCGAAUCCCACUCCUUGCCAAGAUGAGCCUCGCCCUUUGCCUUCUUAUAGUUCUUCUUUUUCUCCCUCUUGUUCCCUUGAUCCUGAUCACUAUCAUUGUCGGGACAGUUAGCAAUAAAAUGACCAAGCUUACCGCAUUUGAAGCAUGAGCGCUUCCCCUUGGCUUUGGUCUUGCUUGGCUGUCCCUUGCGACCUUUAAGCACCGUCUUGAAUCUUUUGAUGAUGAGAGCCAUCUCUUCAUCAUUAAGUCCGGCCGCCUCAAUCUGUGCCACCUUGCUAGGUAGCGCCUCCUUGCUUCGUGUUGCCUUGAGAGCAAGGGGUUGCGGCUCGUUGAUCGGACCAUUCAAGGCGUCGUCCACGUACCUCGCCUCCUUGAUCAUCAUUCGCCCGCUAACGAAUUUCCCAAGAACUUCUUCGGGCGACAUCUUGGUGUACCUGGGAUUUUCACGAAUAUUGUUCACCAAAUGAGGAUCAAGAACGGUAAAUGACCUUAGCAUUAGGCGGACGACGUCGUGGUCCGUCCAUCGCGUGCUCCCGUAGCUCCUUAUUUUGUUGAUAAGGGUCUUGAGCCGGUUGUAUGUUUGUGUCGGCUCCUCGCCCCUUAUCAUCGCGAACCGUCCAAGCUCGCCUUCCACCAACUCCAUUUUGGUGAGCAAGGUGACGUCGUUUCCCUCAUGAGAGAUCUUGAGGGUGUCCCAGAUCUGCUUGGCAUUGUCCAAGCCGCUCACCUUGUGAUACUCGUCCCUGCACAAAGAGGCUAGCAACACAGUAGUAGCUUGUGCAUUUUUAUGAAUCUGUUCAUUAAUAAACACAGGGCUAUCCGAGCUAUCAAAUUUCAUUCCACUUUCCACAAUCUCCCAAAUGCUUGGAUGGAGAGAAAACAGGUGAGUACGCAUUUUGUGGCUCCAAAAUCCGUAGUCCUCUCCAUCAAAGUGAGGGGGUUUGCCAAGUGGAAUGGGGAGCAAUUGAGCAUUUGAACUAUGCGGGAUGCGCGAAUAAUCGAAAGAAAAGUUUGAGUUAACUGUCUUUCGUCUAUCGUGGUCGUCGUCGUCCUUUUGGGAGGAGGAAGAUUCGUCGCUGUCGUAGUAGACAAUUUCCUUGAUGCGCCUUGUCUUCUUCUUCCUCCCGUCUUUUCUUUUGUGGCCCGAGCCUGAGUCGGUGGGCCUGUCAUCAUUGGGCUCGUUGACGAAGGUCUCCUUCUCCUUGUCGUUGAUCACCAUCCCCUUGCCCUUAGGAUCCAUCUCUUCGGGCGGUUAGUCCCUUUCUUGAAGAGAACGGCUCUGAUACCAAUUGAGAGCACCUAGAGGGGGGGGGGGUGAAUAGGUGAUCCUGUAACACUUCAAAAUCUUAAGCCACAAAACUUGAUUAAUUGUUAGCGCAGUAAUUUGCCAAGUGGCUGGAGAAGGAUCUCAACACAACACAAUAACCAAGAGAUAUCAAUCACAGAGAUGGCACAGUGGUUAUCCCGUGGUUCGGCCAAGACCAACGCUUGCCUACUCCACGUUGUGGCGUCCCAACGGACGAGGGUUGCAAUCAACCCCUCUCAAGCGGUCCAAAGACCAACUUGAAUACCACGGUGUUGCUUUGCUUUUCUUAAUCCCACUUGCGAGGAAUCUCCACAGCUUGGAGCCUCUCGCCCUUACAAAAGAUGUUCACAAAGAAUCACGGAGCAAGGGAGGGAUUAGCAACUCACACACGACACAAAGAUCACAGCGAAUACGCACAUGCAAAACCCAGACUUGAGCUCAAGAGACUAGCACACUAGAAUGGAGCUCAAAUCACUAGAAUGUCAAACAAGUGCGCAAGAAUGAAGUGUGAGUGAUCAAUGAUGCUCAAAGGAUGCUUGGUGUUCUCCUCCA
Molecule: long non-coding RNA, 13787 nt
Filed under: Zea mays
Lineage: Eukaryota; Viridiplantae; Streptophyta; Magnoliopsida; Poales; Poaceae
Description: long non-coding RNA (ZMAY_LNC005676)
Source: RNAcentral